CUCAUUCUACAUCCUCCCAGGGUGCAGUAUUCCUUGAAGGCAUCACGGUGAAAGGCGUCUCACAGUUCACCACACAACCCAAACUCGGAGAGAUCCAACGAAUGUGUCAGAGGAUGGCCGAGUGGGAGAGGUCUGGUUUCCCUGGGGCUCAGCCUGUGUCCAUGGACAGGACAAACCUUCGUUUCAUGGAACAGAAACCAUACAAAGUCAGCUGGAAGGCUGACGGCACACGGUAUAUGAUGUUGAUCAAACAAUAAACAUUCG
Long non-coding RNA from Notothenia coriiceps (black rockcod), 264 nucleotides. RefSeq lists it as uncharacterized. The record is from RefSeq and is a predicted model, not a curated record. NCBI's taxonomy places the organism in Eukaryota, Metazoa, Chordata, Actinopteri, Perciformes, Nototheniidae. The transcript has 4 exons.